CGGGGCGUGGCGCAGCCCGGUAGCGCACCGGCAUGGGGGGCCGGUGGUCGCUGGUUCGAAUCCAGUCGCCCCGACCA
Molecule: transfer RNA, 77 nt
Filed under: Candidatus Eiseniibacteriota bacterium
Lineage: Bacteria; Candidatus Eiseniibacteriota
Also listed under: 1 other name
Description: tRNA-Pro
Rfam family: tRNA
About the family: Transfer RNA (tRNA) molecules are approximately 80 nucleotides in length. Their secondary structure includes four short double-helical elements and three loops (D, anti-codon, and T loops). Further hydrogen bonds mediate the characteristic L-shaped molecular structure. tRNAs have two regions of fundamental functional importance: the anti-codon, which is responsible for specific mRNA codon recognition, and the 3' end, to which the tRNAs corresponding amino acid is attached (by aminoacyl-tRNA synthetases). tRNAs cope with the degeneracy of the genetic code in two manners: having more than one tRNA (with a specific anti-codon) for a particular amino acid; and 'wobble' base-pairing, i.e. permitting non-standard base-pairing at the 3rd anti-codon position.
Source: RNAcentral